RNAcentral lists this long non-coding RNA (208 nucleotides) under Lupinus angustifolius (narrow-leaved blue lupine). RNAcentral describes it as "long non-coding RNA (LANG_LNC003708)". Lineage: Eukaryota; Viridiplantae; Streptophyta; Magnoliopsida; Fabales; Fabaceae. The record is from RNAcentral.
ACUUUCUUCUCUCUCGUUCACUUUCCUUUUUUCCCCAUUUCUCACUUUCUUCUCUUCUCUUCUCUCUUCUCUCUCUCGUUCACUCUCUUCUCUUCUCUCUUUCGUUCACUCUCCUUCACUCAUUCAAGCAAGUUCAAGUAGGUGAAUUUGAUUUUCUUCAUUGUUGUGAGUUCAACAACACCAAAUCAAAUGGAAGCUUCUUCCAAGG